CCAAUAGCGUAUAUUAAAGUUGCUGCAGUUAAAAAGCUCGUAGUUGAAUUUCGGGACUGAUAUGUUGGUCGUGCCUCGGUACGUACUGGUAUUUUUGGUUUCUCCCUUCUGACGAACCUUGAUGUCAUUAAUUUGGUGCCUUGGGAAAUCAGGACUGUUACUUUGAAAAAAUUAGAGUGUUUAAAGCAGGCUCACGCUUGAAUACAUUAGCAUGGAAUAAUGAAAUAGGACGUUUGAUUUUAUUUUGUUGGUUUCUAGGAUCGACGUAAUGAUUAAUAGGGAUAGUUGGGGGCAUUAGUAUUCAAUUGUCAGAGGUGAAAUUCUUGGAUUUAUUGAAGACUAACUACUGCGAAAGCAUUUGCCAAGGAUGUUUUCAUUAAUCAAGAACGAAAGUUAGGGGAUCGAAGACGAUCAGAUACCGUCGUAGUCUUAACCAUAAACUAUGCCGACUAGGGAUCGGAUGAUGUUAAUUUUUUAAUGACUCAUUCGGCGCCUUACG
Molecule: ribosomal RNA, 499 nt
Filed under: uncultured Glomeromycotina
Lineage: Eukaryota; Fungi; Glomeromycota
Description: partial small subunit ribosomal RNA
Rfam family: Eukaryotic small subunit ribosomal RNA
Source: RNAcentral